AAACCAUGUUGUGGCCAUCGUCUGAAUAAAUCCUUGUAGUGUUCCUAUGCCUCAUAGAGUGUCUCAUCAUCUUGUUGGGUAAAGGAAGCAAUAUCAUGUCAAAGCUU
Dioscorea cayenensis subsp. rotundata (Guinea yam) is the source of this 107-nucleotide small nucleolar RNA. The record is from RefSeq and is a predicted model, not a curated record. Lineage: Eukaryota; Viridiplantae; Streptophyta; Magnoliopsida; Dioscoreales; Dioscoreaceae.